GAUGAACGCUGGCGGCGUGCCUAAUACAUGCAAGUCGAGCGAACAGACGAGGAGCUUGCUCCUCUGACGUUAGCGGCGGACGGGUGAGUAACACGUGGAUAACCUACCUAUAAGACUGGGAUAACUUCGGGAAACCGGCGCUAAUACCGGAUAAUAUAUUGAACCGCGUGGUUCAAUAGUGAAAGACGGUUUUGCUGUCACUUAUAGAUGGAUCCGCGCCGCAUUAGCUAGUUGGUAAGGUAACGGCUUACCAAGGCGACGAUGCGUAGCCGACCUGAGAGGGUGGUCGGCCACACUGGAACUGGGACACGGUCCAGACUCCUACGGGAGGCCGCAGUAGGGAAUCUGCCGCAAUAGGCGAAAGCCUGACGGAGCAACGCCGCGUGAGAGAUGAAGGUCUUCGGAUCGUAAAACUCUGUUAUUAGGGAAGAACAAAUGUGUAAGUAACUAUGCACGUCUUGACGGUACCUAAUCAGAAAGCCACGGCUAACUACGUG
This 497-nucleotide ribosomal RNA is filed under the name uncultured bacterium. RNAcentral's name for it is "partial 16S ribosomal RNA". It matches the Rfam family "Bacterial small subunit ribosomal RNA", at positions 28 to 507 of the family's 1533-position model. The record is from RNAcentral.